GACGAACGCUGGCGGCGUGCUUAACACAUGCAAGUCGAACGGUAAGGCCCUUCGGGGUACACGAGUGGCGAACGGGUGAGUAACACGUGGGUGAUCUGCCCUGCACUUCGGGAUAAGCCUGGGAAACUGGGUCUAAUACCGGAUAGGACCACUGCCUGCAUGGGUGGUGGUGGAAAGCUUUUGCGGUGUGGGGAUGGGCCCGCGGCCUAUCAGCUUGUUGGUGGGGUGAUGGCCUACCAAGGCGACGACGGGUAGCCGGCCUGAGAGGGUGACCGACGAAUAGGGGGAGGAGAUCCGGCCCAGACUCCUGCGGGAGGCAGCAGGGGGUAAUAUUGCACACUGGGCGCAAGCCUGAUGCAGCGACGCCGCGUGAGGGAUGACGGCCUGCGGGUUGUAAACCUCUUUCAGCACCGACGAAGCGAAAGUGACGGUAGGUGCAGAAGAAGGACCGGCCAACUACGUGCCAGCAGCCGCCGUAA
RNAcentral lists this ribosomal RNA (479 nucleotides) under uncultured bacterium. Its description in RNAcentral is "partial 16S ribosomal RNA". It matches the Rfam family "Bacterial small subunit ribosomal RNA", at positions 28 to 523 of the family's 1533-position model. The record is from RNAcentral.